Long non-coding RNA from Sycon ciliatum, 862 nucleotides. RefSeq lists it as uncharacterized. The transcript has 4 exons. The record is from RefSeq and is a predicted model, not a curated record. Lineage: Eukaryota; Metazoa; Porifera; Calcarea; Leucosolenida; Sycettidae.
ACACAUCCGGGAUUACGAGCUUUGCCUCACAAAAAAAAUACAAACCGCGCGAAAAUUCAAAUUUUUGCUCUUUUGACAGCGCUGAGAAACCUUCGAAUAGUGACGAGAAGACCAGACGUAUCCCUUCGUGACAAGCUGCUACUUGUUCUUUUCAGCUCGAGCCUUUUUUGGGAGCUACUCUGGUACAUCGUCCACACUGCUGCCAAGUCUCGACUUCCCAAAAUGGAUGGAAGUGACGAAUAUGGAGGACGCUAUCCUAGAACCCGUGGACAGAAGAGGAAGAGCGACGACUUGGGUGCGGCAGCGAAGUCUGCCUGCCCAACGCCAAUUGCUCCUCACCCAAAAACGCACCCCAUUGACGAAGAUCAUCCUUGUAUAGACGAUGAUAAAUACUCUCAUCUGACAAGAACACGUCAUCAGAAGUCACUGCCUGCUGCGAAUAACAGCGCAUCGUGUAUGAGAAUCUCUUCACCAACAAGUAUACACAAAUAUACACCCACACACCUACACACACCCUCGUGUACUUGUACACCACACACGCGCGCGCACGUGCGCAUACAUACAACUAUUCAUCUUUAUCCUUUUGUGUUUGACAUGAUUCCACGGUGCCAUGAAAGUAACAUCUUUACUUAUAAAGAAGAGGCACCUGUGACGUGUGUGUGUGUGUGUGUGUGUGUGUGUGUGUGUGUGUGUGUGUGUGUGUUACGCUCAGGCCAUCCUGCGGAGCAGCGCUGCCCUGAGCACGCGAAGCGUGCGAACAGUGUAGCUAGCGGCCGCAGAAGCACUGAGCACGCGAAGCGUGCGAAUCGUGUAGCUAGCGGAAGCAGCCACAGAAGCACUGAGCACGCCAAGCGUGCGAAUC